CCUACGGGAGGCAGCAGUGGGGAAUCUUUGGCAAUGGGCGCAAGCCUGACCCAGCAACGCCGCGUGAAGGAAGAAGGCUUUCGGGUUGUAAACUUCUUUUGUCAGGGAAGAGUAGAAGACGGUACCUGACGAAUAAGCCACGGCUAACUACGUGCCAGCAGCCGCGGUAAUACGUAGGUGGCAAGCGUUGUCCGGAUUUACUGGGUGUAAAGGGCGUGUAGCCGGGUAGGCAAGUCAGAUGUGAAAUCCUGCGGCUUAACCGCAGAACUGCAUUUGAAACUGUUGAUCUUGAGUACUGGAGAGGCAGAUGGAAUUCCUGGUGUAGCAGUGAAAUGCGUAGAUAUUAGGAGGAACACCAGUGGCGAAGGCGGUCUGCUGGACAGCAACUGACGGUGAGGCGCGAAGGCGUGGGGAGCAAACAGGAUUAGAUACCCGAGUAGUC
Molecule: ribosomal RNA, 442 nt
Filed under: uncultured bacterium
Lineage: Bacteria
Description: partial 16S ribosomal RNA
Rfam family: Bacterial small subunit ribosomal RNA
Source: RNAcentral